This 465-nucleotide ribosomal RNA is filed under the name uncultured bacterium. RNAcentral describes it as "partial 16S ribosomal RNA". It matches the Rfam family "Bacterial small subunit ribosomal RNA", at positions 28 to 506 of the family's 1533-position model. The record is from RNAcentral.
GAUGAACGCUGGCGGCGUGCUUAACACAUGCAAGUCGAACGAUGAAGCCCAGCUUGCUGGGUGGAUUAGUGGCGAACGGGUGAGUAACACGUGAGUAACCUGCCCUUAACUCUGGGAUAAGCCUGGGAAACUGGGUCUAAUACCGGAUAGGAGCGCCUACCGCAUGGUGGGUGUUGGAAAGAUUUAUCGGUUUUGGAUGGACUCGCGGCCUAUCAGCUUGUUGGUGAGGUAAUGGCUCACCAAGGCGACGACGGGUAGCCGGUCUGAGAGGGUGACCGGCCACACUGGGACUGAGACACGGCCCAGACUCCUACGGGAGGCAGCAGUGGGGAAUAUUGCACAAUGGGCGAAAGCCUGAUGCAGCGACGCCGCGUGAGGGAUGACGGCCUUCGGGUUGUAAACCUCUUUCAGUAGGGAAGAAGCGAAAGUGACGGUACCUGCAGAAGAAGCACCGGCUAACUACGU